GAUGAACGCUGGCGGCGUGCCUAACACAUGCAAGUCGAACGGAGUCCAGCCUUUAAGACCUUCGGGUCAAAGUGGGGCAGACUGAGUGGCGGACGGGUGAGUAACACGUGGGCAACCUGGCUCAUAGAGGGGGAUAACAGAGAGAAAUUUCUGCUAAUACCGCAUAAGCACACCCUGCCGCAUGGCAGAGGGUGAAAAGAGAAUCGCUAUGAGAUGGACCCGCGUCUGAUUAGCCAGUUGGCAGGGUAAGAGCCUACCAAAGCGACGAUCAGUAGCCGAUCUGAGAGGAUGAGCGGCCACAUUGGGACUGAGACACGGCCCAAACUCCUACGGGAGGCAGCAGUGGGGGAUAUUGCACAAUGGGGGGAACCCUGAUGCAGCGACGCCGCGUGAGUGAAGAAGUAUUUCGGUAUGUAAAGCUCUAUCAGCAGGGAAGAUAAUGACAGUACCGGAAGAAGAAGCCCCGGCUAACUACGUG
RNAcentral lists this ribosomal RNA (478 nucleotides) under uncultured bacterium. RNAcentral describes it as "partial 16S ribosomal RNA". It matches the Rfam family "Bacterial small subunit ribosomal RNA", at positions 28 to 507 of the family's 1533-position model. The record is from RNAcentral.